ACACCUCAACUCUUCAUGGUUUUCUGUGAUGAGCUUGGACUUUGGGGGUUUUGCUGGCCUAUGGUCGGCUCCUCUAAAAUGAAUCAGCUUGCCAGUGUUUGGUGGGCAUCACGGGUGUGAUAACUUAUCUACGCUCGUGGUUUUCCACCAGGUAACCUUCAGCAGUGGAGGUUCGCUGGAGCUCACAGAUGUCUCUCCUCGGUGAGGACGGACCCUUUGAAU
Molecule: unclassified non-coding RNA, 222 nt
Filed under: uncultured Tomentella
Lineage: Eukaryota; Fungi; Basidiomycota; Agaricomycetes; Thelephorales; Thelephoraceae
Description: sequence contains ITS2
Source: RNAcentral